Molecule: ribosomal RNA, 494 nt
Filed under: uncultured bacterium
Lineage: Bacteria
Description: partial 16S ribosomal RNA
Rfam family: Bacterial small subunit ribosomal RNA
Source: RNAcentral
GACGAACGCUGGCGGCGUGCCUAAUAUAUGCAAGUAGAACGCUGAAGGAGGAGCUUGCUUCUCUGGAUGAGUUGCGAACGGGUGAGUAACGCGUAGGUAACCUGCCUGGUAGCGGGGGAUAACUAUUGGAAACGAUAGCUAAUACCGCAUAAGAGUAGAUGUUGCAUGACAUUUGCUUAAAAGGUGCAAUUGCAUCACUACCAGAUGGACCUGCGUUGUAUUAGCUAGUUGGUGGGGUAACGGCUUACCAAGGCGACGAUACAUAGCCGACCUGAGAGGGUGAUCGGCCACACUGGGACUGAGACACGGCCCAGACUCCUACGGGAGGCAGCAGUAGGGAAUCUUCGGCAAUGGACGGAAGUCUGACCGAGCAACGCCGCGUGAGUGAAGAAGGUUUUCGGAUCGUAAAGCUCUGUUGUAAGAGAAGAACGAGUGUGAGAGUGGAAAGUUCACACUGUGACGGUAUCGUACCAGAAAGGGACGGCUAACUACGU